AUGAACGCUGGCGGCGUGCCUAAUACCUGCCAGUCGAGCGAACAGACGAGGAGCUUGCUCCUCUGACGUUAGCGGCGGACGGGUGAGUAACACGUGGAUAACCUACCUAUAAGACUGGGAUAACUUCGGGAAACCGGAGCUAAUACCGGAUAAUAUAUUUAACCGCAUGGUUCAAUAGUGAAAGACGGUUUUGCUGUCACUUAUAGAUGGAUCCGCGCCGCAUUAGCUAGUUGGUAAGGUAACGGCUUACCAAGGCAACGAUGCGUAGCCGACCUGAGAGGGUGAUCGGCCACACUGGAACUGAGACACGGUCCAGACUCCUACGGGAGGCAGCAGUAGGGAAUCUUCCGCAAUGGGCGAAAGCCUGACGGAGCAACGCCGCGUGAGUGAUGAAGGUCUUCGGAUCGUAAAACUCUGUUAUUAGGGAAGAACAAAUGUGUAAGUAACUAUGCACGUCUUGACGGUACCUAAUCAGAAAGCCACGGCUAACUACGUG
Molecule: ribosomal RNA, 496 nt
Filed under: uncultured bacterium
Lineage: Bacteria
Description: partial 16S ribosomal RNA
Rfam family: Bacterial small subunit ribosomal RNA
Source: RNAcentral